CUCCUUGGACCCCAUGGACUGCAGCCUACCAGGCUCCUCCGUCCAUGGGAUUCUCCAGGCAAGAGUACUGGAGUGGGGUGCCAUUGCCUUCUCCGCUGCUUCCCUGACCUCUCCCCAAAUCUGCAAAUUUAAGUCCAAAUCCUAAGCCUUUUCCUGGAUGCCCCACAGUUGGUGUGUGUUCUUCUCCUUGAUGAAAUGAGUUCACAAACCCAAUUUUGUUUGACUAUAAGUGUCUGCUGGUAGUCUUCGGCUGGAGGGCACUGACGAUCAAGAAAAAACAUACAAGUAUACUUGUGCGUAUUUUUUAAAACUCUGAACUCCUACGUUUUGGUUUUUAAGUGUAUUUUAUGAUAUUUUAGUACCACAUUCCCUUUCCUAAUUAUGUUCUCAGGCAAACUGCCCCACCCCCUGAAUCAUCUGCUUCAGCUGGUUACAUUGAUUCUUCAGUCCUUGGGCGAGCUGAGCAUCUUCCUGCAUCUCUCCUCUCCAGUCUUUUUUAAAAAAAUAAUGUUUGUCUGUUUAUGUAUUUGACUACCUUGGGUCUUAGUUGCAGCUCUCGGUAGCACUUGCUUCAGUAGUCACAGCGCUCUAGUUUAGUUGCUUCACAGCAUAUGGGUAUGUUAGUUUCCAGAGCAGGGAUCGAACCCACGUCCUCUGGAUUGUCAGGAGGACUCUUCACCACUGGAGCAGGGAAGUCUUGCCGUCUCCAGUCUUGUAUUAAAAUUGAGGCCCAGGAGAAACCACUCUCUUAGAUGAGGCUUCCAAGAUCACCUAACCAGAUGUGACCUCUCCCUUCUUAGCACUCCUACUGUGCUUGUUUCAGUUACCUGCCAGGCUCUCGUUUUAUCUCCUCCUCAUAGGCUGUAAACUCCAUGAAGAUGGGGACUGAGUCUUACAAUCUUGUUUAGCACUCUAGUGAGUGCUCCAGCUACAAGGCCCCGUCAAAGGGUCAGGUGUUCCCAUGGCUAGGAGCCAGGGAUCCCUGAGAUCAUGAGAAGUUAUGGUUUAGAACUGAGAAGUGGAGCGCCUGAGUCAUAUUAAGGAGGGAUAAGUACUGAAAUCUCUAUGGAUUAAAUGAUAUGACAUCCAAAAUUUGUCUUACAGUUGUCCGUAACCGCUUUGGACUUCCCUGGUGGCUCAGUGGUAAAGAAUCUACCUGCCAGC
This is a long non-coding RNA of Bubalus bubalis (water buffalo), 1164 nucleotides long. RefSeq lists it as uncharacterized. The transcript is spliced from 3 exons. The record is from RefSeq and is a predicted model, not a curated record. Lineage: Eukaryota; Metazoa; Chordata; Mammalia; Artiodactyla; Bovidae.